RNAcentral lists this long non-coding RNA (459 nucleotides) under Zea mays. RNAcentral describes it as "drought responsive lncRNA". Lineage: Eukaryota; Viridiplantae; Streptophyta; Magnoliopsida; Poales; Poaceae. The record is from RNAcentral.
GUUUGCGCCUCUGCCGUAUCUGUGUUCAAGCCUCAGUGGACAUAUACUCACCUAUCUUGGAGAUAUGAUAUAUAGUAAUAUAGCUCAUUGGGUUCUUUCCAUUUGCUGCCAAGCUUUAGUAGGGUAUUGUUUACUACCCUGGCUUUUCUUGUCCUAGCAGAAGCACAAAACUAAUCAGGACCAACCACUGCAAAAUGUGAUUGACAUAGAUCUCACACAUCUCUUCAACAUUGCACAAACAUGGGUGCCUUUUUCAUUCCUUGUGCUACGACAAUAUUUUUAGCUCAUUCGGGGUACUGUACAAUCCAGAGUUUCUUUUUCGAUGCCAUACCAAUCGUUUGUCUCUGCUUGCUGAGACUUGAAGAAAACUUUGGUGCGUUGUCUCUUUUCAUUUCUGUCAGAUUCAUUGCUGCCUUCCAGCAAUCCAGCUCUUUACCCUUUACAGUAUUUCCUUUCCGA